Molecule: long non-coding RNA, 2161 nt
Organism: Dipodomys spectabilis (banner-tailed kangaroo rat)
Lineage: Eukaryota; Metazoa; Chordata; Mammalia; Rodentia; Heteromyidae
Exons: 2
Source: RefSeq, a predicted model, not a curated record
GUGGUGCUGUGGCUCAAGUGGUAGAGCGCUAGCCUUGAGCUGAAGAACUGAAGGAGAGUGCCCAGGCUCGGAGGUCAGGCCCCAAGACAUACUCACAUACAUACACACAUACAUAUAUACAUAAAUAAAUAAGUAGCCAAAAGGCAAUGCAUGAGGUUCUUUAAAUGAAGAAUAAAGUGUUAAAGCAGAGGUUAGUAAAAGGCUUUUUAAAUCAGGAAUGGAUUCCUGGAUAUGAAAUUUGGAAGUAAAAUUGUUCUAAGUGUUUGUUUCAAAGUACAAAAAGGAAAAAUUAUGGCUACCAAAACGAUUCCAGCUUGCCAUUAUACAUUUUUUCAGCAGACCCACAGCAAAAGACAGGAUAUUUACAAGUUCGUCAGGUGUACCUUUAACCCUUAAUAAAUUCCAGGUAAGAGCAUGGUUAAAAAGCUACUUCCAUGUUGACCACCUUGUUGCUUUUGAUUGGGGUAAAGUGGCCUUUUGUAAGACUCAUUGAUCUGAAAACUGUGGUUCAAGCCAACCCGGGCAGAGAAAGGACUAUGAGACUGUCAUCUCUAAUCUGCCAGCAGAGUGCUGGAAAGUGGAGUUGCUUUGGAGCUCAAAGUGGUAGAAUGCUACCAUGAGCUGGAGAGCUGAAGGACAGUACUCAGCCCUGAGUUCAAGUCCAGUGACAGACCAAGGGCAAUGCCAAGGUGCAUUUAACCCAGCAUGCAGAAAAACACUCCUGGGACCUUGGCCAUGAUGGAGCAACCAGAAGCAGUUACAUGCCACUGCUUAGAUGGCAGAGACUAUGUCAUAUCCUGGAGUCACUUACACUUGGCCCUUCAAAAAUUGAUCAGAGUCAGAGGUCAUGGGAAGAUAGUUUACAAGCAUGCAUAACUGGCCUGGAACUUGUCAAUCAUCUGUGAUAGUGGGCAGUAAAAGGCUAAGGUUGUAAAAUGUGGGGGAUAGUUAAAAUCCCAAACCCCCUGUAUCUGCUCAAAAUCCUAAUUGGCAGUGAGCUUUGAGUUGGCACCAGUCACAUAAAUUUCCUCUGUUAAGGAAAGACAGUUUACAGACCUGAGAUUAUAUGUCCCUAUUAAGAACUGCUUAAAGGCCUACCCAGGUAACUUAGGCAUUAUUAGGGUCACUAAAGAUUAGCUUUCCAUGCCUGUAACCCUAUAAAACACUUAAGCUCCAAUUAUUAAAAAACAAAAAAGGGGGAGCCCCAAGGGAAACUCUUGCCUUAACCUUAUUUACUUUAAUUUUAAAAAUUUACCUCAAGGUGAUCCUUAUCCUAGAGCUGAAAAGCAGUUUACCUCUCCAGCUCCAUCUCAAGACCAUACUCCCAUAUGGUUUAAAGAAUUUGAUCAGUGAAACCAGGACUAAUGACUCGUUGUGGGAAAGGGUAUGCUUCUAUCGUUCCAGAUGGAUCUACCGGCAACAUAUGGGAUCCUCUGUGGCCCAUCCGACCCUGGAAGGAUGAGAACAGUACAACCUAAACCUGAGGAAGAAGAAUUAAAACGGCGCCUUGCAGGCCUAAAUGUGAAGACCCAAUGACGCUAUCGUCCCUAUCACAAGAAAACUAGUCAGACGCUGCCAACAUGGGGUCAGAUUAAGACGUUGUCAGACAAGGGAGAAGUUCUGAUCAGUACUGAAGGCCCAGAACACUCGCACAUCUGUUUUUGGCCAUGGUUGUGCUGCUCACCUGUACUUCCAUGGAUACCACUGUCUCCACUACAAAAUAGCCAAGAUGUCCCUUCCACAAAGGAAUUUUGUGCUUGCUCUACUACACUUAAAAAAACAAAAAAGGGGGAGCUGUCGAAGGCACUGGCCACGUGAUUCCUUCUGAGGAUUUGUGUGCUGUGUGAGGUUGUGUAUGCUGGUGUACACAGCCUUAGGGGGAAAGAGAAAACUCCUUGAAAGUCUGGGCAACAGUCCAGAUGCCUGGCCACACCUCAGGGGAAGACAUGCAGAAUGGGCUCUACAUACUCCUCUGAAUGGUCUUAUAACACUCCCUCAUACUCCUUUUAUGUAUGUAAGAAAAUCACCUGCACUUUGCUUAUCUCCUGUAACCUUUGAUCUCGUAAAACUGUUUCAUGUUUGCUGACUAAGAUUAACUCUCGGUGUGUAUGUGCUAUAUAUAAGCAUAAGUGCUAUUAAUAAACUUUGUCUAUACCUGCAA